CCAGCUCUAUGGAGUGUACGGCUUAAAAGUGGUCCUAUGGAGAGAUACUCCAAUCUCCGCUGUGGAGCUUUGCAGCUCUUUCAGCGUUAUCUUUGGUCUCUUUGUUGCCUCUCUGAUUUAAUGCCCUUCUUGCCUGGUCUGGGAGUAUUGGUGGGCGGCCCUCUCUUGGCAGGUUUGUUGUGGUGCCAUAUUCUUUCCAUUUUUUUAAAUAAUUGAUUUAAUGGUGCUCUGUGGGUUGUUCAAAGUUUAUAUUUUUUUUAUUACCCAACCCUGAUCUGUACUUCUCCUUUGGAGAGCUCCUUUGUCUUCAUAGUUCUGCUUUCUUGGUGGUGCCCCUUGCUUAACGGUGGUGCCCCUUGCUUAGCGGUGUUGCGGACUCUGGAGCCUUUCAGAACAGGUGAUACUGAGAUCAUGUGACAGAUCAUGUGACACUUAGAAUGCACACAGGUGGACUUUAUUUAACUAAUUAUGUGACUUCUUAAGGUAAUUGGUUGCACCAGAUCUUAUUUAGGGGCUUCAUAGCAAAGGGGGUGAAUACAUAUGCACGCAACACUUUUCCAUUUUUUUUUUUUUUUUAAACAAUUUUUUUUCUUUCAUUUCACUUCACCAAUUUGGACUAUUUUGUCUAUGUCCAUUACAUGAAAUCCAAAUAAAAAUCUAUUUAAAUUACAGGUUGUAAUGCAACAAAAUAGGAAAAACGCCAAGUGGGGUGAAUACUUUGCAAUGCACUGUAGAACUCAAUGUGUAUCUACUGAUGGUGUUAAAUCAGUUUUCCUGGAUAUUGCGAAAGGUGUCCCGCUGGGGUCGAUUCUGGGUUUUACUUUUUACUGUUUACAUGAACAAUAUCAAAUUUCCUGUAGAAAAUUGUUUCCUGCACUUGUAUGCUGAUGAUACUGUUGGCUAUGCAAUUGCCCCCACGGUGGACCAGGCUCUACUGAACUACAGCCUGCCUUCAUUGUAUUACAGAAAAACUUUAUUGACCUGAAAUUAGUAUUGAAUGUUUUCUAGAGCGCAUAAAAUAACUCUGAUUUAUGCAUAUGCACUUUGGAUUGUGUCCAUAUUGAUCGUGGCCCUG
Molecule: long non-coding RNA, 1075 nt
Organism: Oncorhynchus tshawytscha (Chinook salmon)
Lineage: Eukaryota; Metazoa; Chordata; Actinopteri; Salmoniformes; Salmonidae
Source: Ensembl